This is a non-coding RNA of Camelina sativa (false flax), 1104 nucleotides long. Lineage: Eukaryota; Viridiplantae; Streptophyta; Magnoliopsida; Brassicales; Brassicaceae. The record is from RefSeq and is a predicted model, not a curated record.
UACAAAAAUACAUAGAUAAUUUACCAAUUUGAACGAACAAUCACAACAAUGAUAAAAUCUAAUAUAAAAACUUGAAUCACAUAUGGUUUUGAGGUAAAGGCAUCAAUCAAUGGCGUCUUCAUCUUCUGAAUCUCGCAUUGUCAAAGUAUAUUACAAGCAUAACCGCGUAGGGGCAGUCGAUCCCUUCGCGUUUGAGAACUAUGAGCGUCUCGUAGAUGCUCUGUCUGAUAUGUUUGGAGUAGCAAUUAAUUGUAAGUAACUAAACAAAAAUGUUUUUAGUCGAAGAAAAAUAAAAUAUACUAUCAUCUUACGUUUUGUUUCUCGAAAGCUAUCAUCAAAAUUAUACUAGAAAAAACAAGUACUUAGUUCAUAUGCAUAUUCUAAAUAAAUAAAUAAGAAACUUUGCAAAGAUAUAGAAAUACACAAGUAAAAGAAAAUAUGUAGUCUAAUGAUUUGUGUUAGUGUGUUGUUUCGGAGUCUAAUGAUUUGUGCUAGUGUGUUGUUUUGUAGUCUAAUGAUUUGUUUUAGUGGUGUAUUGCUUUGAUCAGUUCUACAAACUUAUUAAAUGUACAAACCACAUACAUAAUUUAAUAUUUCUAAGUAAGACUUUUCUUUGAUUCCAACAGAUGGCGUCGGAAAUCACUAUACGUUGACGUAUACAGACAACGAUGAACAAUGGAGAAUGGCCGGAGACAUCCCUUGGGACAAUUUUCUGAGUACAGUUCAAGUAUUGAUCCUUUGGAGGCCGAAAUCCCAACCAACUACUUUACAACUCUUCAAAUGAAGUGAGCCAUUAUCUAAAUAUUUUUGUAUUACAAAGUCAACUUAUAUAAUUUAUGUAAACAAAAACUAUACUUCUACAAACUAUUUACACAAUACUCGUCUCUCUUAUUAUUGGUCAAAUUGUGUAAUUAGUUAAUAGUAUUAAUGAGGGAGAUGUGAGUUCAUUACUUAUAAGUUAUAACCAUUCAAAAUCAAUUUUGGAGAUGUGAGUUAAUCUUGAACACAUCAACGAGCAGACAUGAUACAAUCUCUCGUCUUGUUUUUGUUGUCUCACAUAAUAAACCUAGAGAGUGAGUGACCCCUUGGGAACAAAAAAAAAAA